AGAGUUUGAUCCUGGCUCAGAAUGAACGCUGGCGGCGUGCUUAACACAUGCAAGUCGUACGAGAACGUCUUAGCUUGCUAAGAUCAGUAAAGUGGCGCACGGGUGAGUAGCGCGUGGGUAAUCUACCUUCGAAUCGGGGAUAACAUUGCGAAAGCGAUGCUAAUACCGGAUGAUAUCUUUGGCUCCCCGGGGCCUUAGAUCAAAGAUGGCCUCUACUUGUAAGCUAUUGUUUGAAGAUGAGCCCGCGUCCCAUUAGCUUGUUGGUGGGGUAACGGCCUACCAAGGCGACGAUGGGUAGCUGGUCUGAGAGGAUGAUCAGCCACACUGGAACUGACACACGGUCCAGACUCCUACGGGAGGCAGCAGUGAGGAAUUUUGCGCAAUGGGGGAAACCCUGACGCAGCAACGCCGCGUGAGUGAUGAAGGCUUUCGGGUCGUAAAGCUCUGUCAAGUGGGAAGAACCUAUAUAAAGCCAAUACCUUUAUAUACUGACGGUAUCACUGAAGGAAGCACCGGCUAACUCCGUGCCAGCAGCCGCGGUAACACGGGGGGUGCAAGCGUUAUUCGGAAUCACUGGGCGUAAAGAGCGCGUAGGCGGCUAGGUAAGUCAGAUGUGAAAGCCCGGGGCUCAACCCCGGAAGUGCAUCUGAAACUGCUUGGCUUGAGUAUGGGAGAGGGAAGUGGAAUUCCUGGUGUAGAGGUGAAAUUCGUAGAUAUCAGGAGGAACACCGGUGGCGAAGGCGACUUCCUGGACCAAUACUGACGCUGAGGCGCGAAGGCGUGGGGAGCAAACAGGAUUAGAUACCCUGGUAGUCCACGCAGUANACGUUGUUCACUAGGUGUAGCGGGUAUUGACCCCUGCUGUGCCGCAGCUAACGCAUUAAGUGAACCG
RNAcentral lists this ribosomal RNA (892 nucleotides) under uncultured Pseudomonadota bacterium. RNAcentral's name for it is "bacterial SSU rRNA". It matches the Rfam family "Bacterial small subunit ribosomal RNA", at positions 8 to 871 of the family's 1533-position model. The record is from RNAcentral. Lineage: Bacteria; Pseudomonadati; Pseudomonadota.